GACGAACGCUGGCGGCGUGCCUAAUACAUGCAAGUUGAGCGCUGAAGGUUGGUACUUGUACCAACUGGAUGAGCAGCGAACGGGUGAGUAACGCGUGGGGAAUCUGCCUUUGAGCGGGGGACAACAUUUGGAAACGAAUGCUAAUACCGCAUAAAAACUUUAAACACAAGUUUUAAGUUUGAAAGAUGCAAUUGCAUCACUCAAAGAUGAUCCCGCGUUGUAUUAGCUAGUUGGUGAGGUAAAGGCUCACCAAGGCGAUGAUACAUAGCCGACCUGAGAGGGUGAUCGGCCACAUUGGGACUGAGACACGGCCCAAACCCCUACGGGAGGCAGCAGGAGGGAAUCUUCGGCAAUGGACGAAAGUCUGACCGAGCAACGCCGCGGGAGUGAAGAAGGUUUUCGGAUCGUAAAACUCUGUUGGUAGAGAAGAACGUUGGUGAGAGUGGAAAGCUCAUCAAGUGACGGUAACUACCCAGAAAGGGACGGCUAACUACGUG
Molecule: ribosomal RNA, 497 nt
Filed under: uncultured bacterium
Lineage: Bacteria
Description: partial 16S ribosomal RNA
Rfam family: Bacterial small subunit ribosomal RNA
Source: RNAcentral